AGCGAACGCUGGCGGCAGGCUUAACACAUGCAAGUCGAACGCCCCGCAAGGGGAGUGGCAGACGGGUGAGUAACACGUGGGAACGUACCCUUUGGUUCGGAAUCACUUGGAGAAACUCAAGCUAAUACCGGAUAAGCCCGUAUGGGGAAAGGUUUACUGCCGAAGGAUCGGCCCGCGUCUGAUUAGCUAGUUGGUGAGGUAAUGGCUCACCAAGGCGACGAUCAGUAGCUGGUCUGAGAGGAUGAUCAGCCACACUGGGACUGAGACACGGCCCAGACUCCUACGGGAGGCAGCAGUGGGGAAUAUUGGACAAUGGGGGCAACCCUGAUCCAGCCAUGCCGCGUGAGUGAUGAAGGCCUUAGGGUUGUAAAGCUCUUUUACCCGGGACGAUAAUGACUGUACCGGGAGAAUAAGCCCCGGCUAACUUCGUGCCAGCAGCCGCGGUAA
This 447-nucleotide ribosomal RNA is filed under the name uncultured bacterium. RNAcentral's name for it is "partial 16S ribosomal RNA". It matches the Rfam family "Bacterial small subunit ribosomal RNA", at positions 29 to 523 of the family's 1533-position model. The record is from RNAcentral.